Molecule: ribosomal RNA, 255 nt
Filed under: Salmonella enterica subsp. enterica serovar Amager
Lineage: Bacteria; Pseudomonadati; Pseudomonadota; Gammaproteobacteria; Enterobacterales; Enterobacteriaceae
Description: partial 23S ribosomal RNA
Rfam family: Bacterial large subunit ribosomal RNA
Source: RNAcentral
CCAAGGCUAAAUACUCCUGACUGACCGAUAGUGAACCAGUACCGUGAGGGAAAGGCGAAAAGAACCCCGGCGAGGGGAGUGAAAAAGAACCUGAAACCGUGUACGUACAAGCAGUGGGAGCACCCUUUGGGGUGUGACUGCGUACCUUUUGUAUAAUGGGUCAGCGACUUAUAUUCUGUAGCAAGGUUAACCGAAUAGGGGAGCCGGAGGGAAACCGAGUCUUAAUUGGGCGUUAAGUUGCAGGGUAUAGACCCG